Molecule: ribosomal RNA, 1489 nt
Filed under: uncultured bacterium
Lineage: Bacteria
Description: bacterial SSU rRNA
Rfam family: Bacterial small subunit ribosomal RNA
Source: RNAcentral
GGCUCAGGACGAACGCUGGCGGCGUGCCUAAUACAUGCAAGUAGAACGCUGAAGAGAGGAGCUUGCUCUUCUUGGAUGAGUUGCGAACGGGUGAGUAACGCGUAGGUAACCUGCCUUGUAGCGGGGGAUAACUAUUGGAAACGAUAGCUAAUACCGCAUAACAAUGGAUGACACAUGUCAUUUAUUUGAAAGGGGCAAUUGUUCCACUACAAGAUGGACCUGCGUUGUAUUAGCUAGUAGGUGAGGUAAUGGCUCACCUAGGCGACGAUACAUAGCCGACCUGAGAGGGUGAUCGGCCACACUGGGACUGAGACACGGCCCAGACUCCUACGGGAGGCAGCAGUAGGGAAUCUUCGGCAAUGGGGGCAACCCUGACCGAGCAACGCCGCGUGAGUGAAGAAGGUUUUCGGAUCGUAAAGCUCUGUUGUAAGUCAAGAACGGGUGUGAGAGUGGAAAGUUCACACUGUGACGGUAGCUUACCAGAAAGGGACGGCUAACUACGUGCCAGCAGCCGCGGUAAUACGUAGGUCCCGAGCGUUGUCCGGAUUUAUUGGGCGUAAAGCGAGCGCAGGCGGUUUGAUAAGUCUGAAGUUAAAGGCUGUGGCUCAACCAUAGUUCGCUUUGGAAACUGUCAAACUUGAGUGCAGAAGGGGAGAGUGGAAUUCCAUGUGUAGCGGUGAAAUGCGUAGAUAUAUGGAGGAACACCGGUGGCGAAAGCGGCUCUCUGGUCUGUAACUGACGCUGAGGCUCGAAAGCGUGGGGAGCGAACAGGAUUAGAUACCCUGGUAGUCCACGCCGUAAACGAUGAGUGCUAGGUGUUGGAUCCUUUCCGGGAUUCAGUGCCGCAGCUAACGCAUUAAGCACUCCGCCUGGGGAGUACGACCGCAAGGUUGAAACUCAAAGGAAUUGACGGGGGCCCGCACAAGCGGUGGAGCAUGUGGUUUAAUUCGAAGCAACGCGAAGAACCUUACCAGGUCUUGACAUCCCGAUGCUAUUUCUAGAGAUAGAAAGUUACUUCGGUACAUCGGUGACAGGUGGUGCAUGGUUGUCGUCAGCUCGUGUCGUGAGAUGUUGGGUUAAGUCCCGCAACGAGCGCAACCCCUAUUGUUAGUUGCCAUCAUUCAGUUGGGCACUCUAGCGAGACUGCCGGUAAUAAACCGGAGGAAGGUGGGGAUGACGUCAAAUCAUCAUGCCCCUUAUGACCUGGGCUACACACGUGCUACAAUGGUUGGUACAACGAGUUGCGAGUCGGUGACGGCGAGCUAAUCUCUUAAAGCCAAUCUCAGUUCGGAUUGUAGGCUGCAACUCGCCUACAUGAAGUCGGAAUCGCUAGUAAUCGCGGAUCAGCACGCCGCGGUGAAUACGUUCCCGGGCCUUGUACACACCGCCCGUCACACCACGAGAGUUUGUAACACCCGAAGUCGGUGAGGUAACCUUUUGGAGCCAGCCGCCUAAGGUGGGACAGAUGAUUGGGGUGAAGUCGUAACAA